CCUACGGGUGGCAGCAGUGGGGAAUAUUGCACAAUGGGGGAAACCCUGAUGCAGCGACGCCGCGUGAGUGAAGAAGUAUUUCGGUAUGUAAAGCUCUAUCAGCAGGGAAGAAAUAGCGACCUUUGGGUCGCCAGACGGUGCCUGAUUAAGAAGCCCCGGCUAACUACGUGCCAGCAGCAGCGGUAAUACGUAGGGGGCAAGCGUUAUCCGGAUUUACUGGGUGUAAAGGGAGCGUAGACGGCAGAGCAAGUCUGCAGUGAAAGGCCGGGGCCUAACCCCGGAACUGCUUUGGAAACUGUGUAGCUAGAGUGCAGGAGGGGUAAGCGGAAUUCCUGGUGUAGCGGUGAAAUGCGUAGAUAUUAGGAGGAACACCAGCGGCGAAGGCGGCCUACUGGACUGUAACUGACGUUGAGGCUUGAAAGCGUGGGGAGCAAACAGGAUUAGAUACCCCUGUAGUC
RNAcentral lists this ribosomal RNA (458 nucleotides) under uncultured bacterium. Its description in RNAcentral is "partial 16S ribosomal RNA". It matches the Rfam family "Bacterial small subunit ribosomal RNA", at positions 338 to 795 of the family's 1533-position model. The record is from RNAcentral.